CCGACGGUGAGAGACGAAAGCUGGGGAGCAAACCGGAUUAGAUACCCGGGUAGUCCCAGCCGUAAACGAUGUGCGUUAGGUGUAUCGGUGACCACGAGUCACCGAGGUGCCGAAGAGAAAUCGUGAAACGUACCGCCUGGGAAGUACGGUCGCAAGGCUGAAACUUAAAGGAAUUGGCGGGGAGCACCACAACAGGUGGAGCCUGCGGUUUAAUCGGACUCAACGCCGGGAAACUCACCAGAUAAGACAGCUGAAUGAUAGUCGGGCUGAAGACUCUACUUGACUAGCUGAGAGGAGGUGCAUGGCCGUCGUCAGUUCGUACUGUGAAGCAUCCUGUUAAGUCAG
RNAcentral lists this ribosomal RNA (345 nucleotides) under uncultured archaeon. Its description in RNAcentral is "bacterial SSU rRNA". It matches the Rfam family "Archaeal small subunit ribosomal RNA", at positions 691 to 1037 of the family's 1478-position model. The record is from RNAcentral.